UCUGCAGCUCAGUUGGUCAGAGUGCUGCACUGGAACCACAGGGCCACAGGUUCGAGUCCAGCAAGAG
Paramuricea clavata is the source of this 67-nucleotide non-coding RNA. The record is from the annotation of a GenBank genome assembly. NCBI's taxonomy places the organism in Eukaryota, Metazoa, Cnidaria, Anthozoa, Malacalcyonacea, Plexauridae.